UGGCACAGUGGUUGAAGCACUUGGCUGCUAACCAAAAGGUCGGUGGUUCAAAGCCACC
RNAcentral lists this transfer RNA (58 nucleotides) under Loxodonta africana (African savanna elephant). Lineage: Eukaryota; Metazoa; Chordata; Mammalia; Proboscidea; Elephantidae. The record is from Rfam by way of RNAcentral.